This is a long non-coding RNA of Mus musculus (house mouse), 1520 nucleotides long. RefSeq annotates it as predicted gene, 36111. The record is from RefSeq and is a predicted model, not a curated record. NCBI's taxonomy places the organism in Eukaryota, Metazoa, Chordata, Mammalia, Rodentia, Muridae. The transcript is spliced from 2 exons.
CCCAGUGAGCCUCAGGAGCCUGUGCAACCAGUCGGCUAGGUUACAUCAGGGACCCCAGGAGGCUGUGGAGAAGUUCCCAGCCCUGGCUCAGGUGCCUUGGGUGGGAGGGGGAGCAGGAGGGAGACGACCCGUCUCUUGGGACACUGCCUCUUCAGCUUAGGGGCAGUAGUUUCCUUCCUUCCUUGAUGACCCGGGAGCUUUAACUGGAAGUGGUCAGCUGUUGAAGACCUGCCAGCCUCUGCUGACAACAGAGUGACUUCUGGAAUCUCAGCUCAGAGAAGGGAGGAGUCUGGGCUGCAGAAUUUACUCACUGGGAUGGUGAGCCAGCACAGCCCUCUUGCUGGAAGCCGUACAACCAUUACAAAGGGAAAGGAAAAGUCUGGCCAAGAACCGGUAAGGAGAGGUGAGGCAAGACCUCAAGAGUACAGACCCACACUCAACCAGAGAGAGCUCAAAGCCAUGGACAAAGUAGGUCCCCUGAGCAGAGCGAGCCCGGUGCUGCAGGGCCCUGAGCAGUGAGGGGCCCUAGCCAUGGACAAAGCCGGUCGGUCGAUAAACAGAGUCAUGGACGACAAUACAGUGCACUGUAUCAAGGGCAUUCAGGUUAUGAGCCACUCCCGAUGCUCAGAGUGCAGUAAUCCCAUACUGAACUGUGUUCUGAGUACACAGGACGCGGGCCAGGGAGAAGACAGGACACAAACUUCUUUAGGUGACUAGGUGACGCUGUGUGGACCCCACACUGAAUGGAUACUGAUCUGAACACCUGGGUAGUUUCAAUGUUCAUUUUACAUGGCUUUUGCUUUAAACAACACAGCCAUGUGCUGUGAGAUUGUAUCUCUUAGAAAUGUCAGAAGCCACACCCAUCAAGUCUCCCCAACGUUACCGAAACCGGACAGGAACGAGGAUGAUGCCAACAGACAUGCUAAUGUGGAUGAGGAACGCCCAUGAGGCCUGAACCCCACACAGAGAACUAUAGGCAACCAUGGACUGCUAAGGGUGGGAGAGACAGUCUUCCACAGGGAAGGGCACUCCAGCUGGCUAAGCAGUGGUCGGCCCUGAGAAUAUACAUACAGGUCGUAUUACACAGACUGAGUAGGCUGCAUUUAUACACUUGGGAACACACACACACACACACACACACACACACACACACACACGUAUGUAACAACAAUUAAGAAGGUUAUAAACUUGAAUGGGACAACAUGGGAAGGCUUAGAAGGAGGAAAGGGAAGAAAUGAUUAUGAUCUUAAACAAAAGCAAACAACAAUGACCCACACAAGCAUCGCCCCAUGGCAUCAGAGACGGGACUCUGCCGGCAAAGAAGUCUUUCCAACAUGUGCUGCUGGGGCUGACGUACAGCCUGAACACAAACCUCACACCUUACACCCAGGUGAACUCACUCGAGCCACAGACACAAAGUCAUGAAGCAGGCAGACACCCGAAUGGCUUCCAGUCGGUGUGAGCCGCAGAAGGGAACACUGACAAGCCACAUGUGUUCAAUAAAAGCCUUGUCUCUAAAA